Molecule: non-coding RNA, 98 nt
Organism: Amniculicola lignicola CBS 123094
Lineage: Eukaryota; Fungi; Ascomycota; Dothideomycetes; Pleosporales; Amniculicolaceae
Source: the annotation of a GenBank genome assembly
UCCGUUAUGGUGUAUCGGCUAGCAUCCGUCGCUUUCAUUAGUUCUUCUGAGCAUUGAUAGCGCCCGACGAGAGCCGGGUUCGACUCCCGGUAACGGAA